UUGUGGUUAAAAAGCUCGUAGUUGGAUCUCGGCGGACUGAGGGCGGUUUGCUUGCUAGUAUUACUGCCCUAUAGUCCGUAGUUUUGCCAGAGGUUUCGGGGUGCUCUUAAUCGAGUGUCCCGGGAUGCUGGCAGGUUUACUUUGAAAAAAUUAGAGUGCUCAAAGCAGGCUAUUACGCCUGAAUAUUCGUGCAUGGAAUAAUAGAAUAGGAAGUCGUUUCUAUUUUGUUGGUUUUCGGAAAUCGACUUAAUGAUUAAUAGGGACAGUCGGGGGCAUUUGUAUUCAAACGACAGAGGUGAAAUUCUUGGACCGUUUGAAGACAAACUACUGCGAAAGCAUUUGCCAAGAAUGUUUUCAUUAAUCAAGAACGAAAGUUAAAGGUUCGAAGGCGAUUAGAUACCGCCCUAGUUUUAACCAUAAACGAUGCCAGCUAGCGAUCUGCGGACGUUUUUUUUGUAGACUCCGCAGGAAGCUUCCGGGAAACCAAAGCAUUUGGGUUCCAGGGGAAGUAUGGUUGCAAAGCUGAAACUUAAAGGAAUUGACGGAAGGGCACCACCAGGAGUGGAGCCUGUGGCU
Molecule: ribosomal RNA, 576 nt
Filed under: uncultured marine eukaryote
Lineage: Eukaryota
Description: SSU rRNA
Rfam family: Eukaryotic small subunit ribosomal RNA
Source: RNAcentral